Molecule: long non-coding RNA, 3563 nt
Filed under: Ovis aries (sheep)
Lineage: Eukaryota; Metazoa; Chordata; Mammalia; Artiodactyla; Bovidae
Description: lncRNA (ENSOARG00000026533.1)
Source: RNAcentral
AUGCUCUCCAUGGCGAUGAAGUGGGCCAGGUGGAGAAGGAAGAAGAGCUGGUUACUCUUGAACAGGUUCAUGACCUCAGCAGUCUUCCUCAGGGCCCAGAAGUCCUCAAUGAUCUGGGAAUUUGUCGCGGUCCUGGCUGGGCUCCUCAGAAACCAGCUCACCAAUCAACAGGGGCUUCAUGAACUUGAGCACAAAACCGAAGUUGCGGUGGAAGGCCAGGAAGGCGUCUGUAGCAUCUUCCCCGGCAUAGUGCCCGAUGACCCGCUGGCCCUCCGGGUGCCGGCUGGACCAUUUGGUGAUGUUGUAGACCUUGCGAUUGAUGACCAGCCACUUGUCGGUACGCAGGUUGUGCUUCUGAAUCUCCUCCCAUUGGAAGGUGCAGAUAGACUCAUGGAAAUAUCUAAGAACAGUGGGAGAAAGCAGUGUGAAAGAAGAAAAAGAACAGUACAAACGUAAUAAGGGUCACAAUUUUUAAAGACAAAUGGGGGUGUGGACAUACAUUAAAAUAUGCAACUUUAUCCUGAUUUACAAAACUUUCAUAAAUUCAGUGUGAGAUGUAAAUAUAAGAGAAGCUGACAAAAUUUUAUACCAAACAAACAAAAGCAAAUCAAACACCUCACUCUAACCCUGCUCAGUCCACCGUACGGAUCCUCCCAGCAGUCACUGACCGCAGCUUUGCAUGUGUCCCCAAACUGCAGCAGAGUUUUUUUUCUGAGAAGCUAAGCAGCAGAGUACAUUAUGUGCCCAUAAUCAUAUGCUCCCAAGUACAAAAUGUUAAGUCAAUGAUUAACCUACCAAAGCACUUUUUUGGAAAGAUAGGCAGACUUCAAGGAUUUCAAAAAUCUUUCUUGUAACCCCUGAUCUGGCCUACAUCUUGGGAAAAGGGGUAUGAGGUACAAGGAGGGGCAUUUCCCUUUGUGGGAGCCCAGGAACCCCUGCACUGACCAGCUGUCCACCCCACCCCAGCCAAGAUGGUCAGAGCCCAAUGCAGUGAGCAUGCAGGAAAGGGUUAUAUCUCCUUUGCAAGCAGUUGUCUUUUUCCUGGCAAACAAGCUAGGUGCCAGAAACUUUACCCAGACGGGGAGGAAAAGAGAGGAGAGGAAGCAGAAGGGGAGGGGGAGGGCACGAAGGAAGAAAAUAGAAUCAUCAGGGAAAAAAAAAAAUGAAAGAUGAGGUCAAGAUGAUUACAGUUUGAAACAACUUCAGAACAGUUACAUAUUUUUUCAAAGCAUUUAAAGCCUCUCAAAGCUCUCAAAAGGUACAAGCCUGCAGGGAGGUGACUUCCCUCAGCCUUGAAAUCUUUCACUCAGCUGUACAAAAACAGAAAAGAGAUCUCAGACUCAGAAGUUACAGAAGUACAUGUGCAAGCACUAUUGCUGGUUGCAUUUCAUUUCUUUGUCUAAACAGAAACUGUUCUUGCAAGUUACCACCAACCCCAGGACACCUUGCAAGUGCACUUCCCAGGGCUUACAUCAUCCCGUGCUUUCAUUACACCUGUUUCUUUCUACUUGUCACACAUUCCUCUCCCUUUCCCCUGAACAACGGAGAUACCAUUUCCAAGUUCCUUAAUUAAAUCUUAUUUUAUCUUGCAACUAUCAGGAAAAAAAAACAAAGUCAUCCAGGGUCAUCUCUUGAAGGUUGAGAAGCCUGAGCCACCCACCUGCUCCUGCUUGUCAAAAUUAAAUCUGCCAAGUGCUGAGUUGCUUGAAAAUGUCCUGUUAAGUCAUUUAAAGACAUAGCUCUUCAUAUAUCUAGCAAGGCAUAUCCUUAAUUUGAGACAUAUGCCUUGCCACAAUCACAGAACCUUUCCACCAAAUGUUUUCUUUAAAAAUAUAAUAAGUUCCCAUCUGAAAAUGUUAUUAUCCAUGUUUCGUCUUCAUAUUUCUUAUUUCCGUAACAAAGUAUUCUUGCACCUAAUGAACCAUGAAAUCUUUAACAGAAAAGGAUGUUUUUUGAGGAAUAACUGGCAUAACAUUGUCUAGCUUCAGGUGUACAACAUAAUGAUUUAAUACUUGUAUAUAUUAUUAUUUUUAUAACAGCCAUCCUGAUCAGUGUGGGGUAGUGUCUCGAGGAGCUUGCCACCUGUUUUCUUCCAGGAGUUUUAUGGCUUAAGGUUUCACAUCCAAGUCUUGAAUCCAUUUUGAGUUAAAGUUUGUGUAUGGUGUAAGGUAGUGGUCCAGUUUUUCUAUUACCAUUUACUGAAAAGACUAUCCUUUCUCCCCAGCACAUCCUUGGCUCCUUUGUUUUCAAUCACUUGACCACAGAGGCAUGGGCUUUUUUUCUGGGUUCUCUAUUCUGUACCAUUGAUCUAUGUGUCUGUGCUUUUGUUUUGUUGCCAAUACCAUGCUGUUUUGAUUACUGUAGCUUUGUAAUAUAGCUUGAAAUCAAGAAGCAUGAUACCUCCAGCUUUGUUCUUUCUCAUGAUUGUUUUGACUAUCUGGGAGUCUUAGUGGUUCCAUACAACUUUUAGGAUUGUUUGUUCUAUAUCUAUGAAAAACUCAAUUGAAAGUUUGAUAGAGAGUGCAUUGAAUCUGUAGGUUGCUUUGGGCAGUAUGAACAAUUUUACAAUAAUUAUUCUUCCAAUCCAAAGCAUAUAGUUCCACUGAUGUAUACCUUCAGUUCCUUUCAUCAGUGUCUUAUAGUUUUCCUACAAUGAGGUAUCGCUCACACAGGUCAGAAUAACCAUCAUCAAAAGGUCUACAAACAAUAAAUACUGGAGAAGAUGUGGAGAAAAGGGAAUCCUCUUGCACUGUUGGUGGGAAUGUAAAUUGAUACAGCCACUAUGGAAGACACUAUGGAAAUUCCUUUAAAAACUAGGAAUAAAACCGCCAUAUGACCCAGAAAUCCCCCUCCUAUGCAUAUACCCUGAGGAAACCGAAACUGAAAAAGACUCAUGAACCCUAAUGUUCACUGCAGCACUAUUUACAAUAGCUAGAACAUGGGGGCAACCUAGAUGUCCACUGACAGAUGAAUGGAUAAAGCUGCAAUACGUGUAUACAAUGGAAUAUUACCCAGCCAUAAAAGUGAAUGCAUUUGAGUCUGUUCUAAUGAGGUGGAUGAACCUAGAACCUAUUAUAGAGAGUGACAUAACUCAGAAAGAGAAAGACAAAUAUCAUAUACUAACACAUAUAUAUGGAAUCUACAAAGAUGGUACUGAUGAAAUUAUAUACAGGAAAGCAAUGGAGACAUAGACAUUGAGAACAGACUUAUGAACACAGAGUGGAGGGGAGGAAGGAGAGGCUGGGUUGUAUGAAGAGAGUAACAUGGAAACAUACAUUACCAUAUGUAAAAUAGAUAGCCAAUGGGAAUUUGCUGUAUAGCUCAGGGAACUCAAACAGGAGCUCUGUGACAACCGAGGGUGGGAGAGGAGGGAGGUGGGCGAGAAGUUGAAGCGGGAGAGGACAUGAGUAUACCUAUGGCUGAUUCAUGUUGAUGGUUAGCAGAAACCAACACAAUACUGUAAAGGAAACAUCCUUCAAUUAAAAAUAAAUAAAGUUGAAAAAUAUAUCUUAUAGUUUUCAGAGUACAGAUCUUCCACCUUCUGGAUUAAAUUUAUUCCUGGC